CUGUAGUUUUCUGGCAGGGGGUUUCCCGGCAGCCGUUUCAGUCUGCAGGGCAUGGCGGGAGGUGUAGUCUUCCCAUACUGGCCUUCUGGGAGACCAUGUUGCGCCUCUCGAGGUGGCGGGAGGUGCAGUUCUCUGUCAGCGGGGUUCCCAGCAGCCGUUCACGUUGUGCUCUGUGGCAGGCCAGCAGCUGUACUUCCAGGUGCCUGUGCCUUCUCCGCCCUGCAGCAGUGGCCCGCUGUGUGUGUUCCUUACCGGACACGUGUCGCUCGGGUGUCGAAAAAGCAGUACUGCACCGUGGCCGUGCUCCCURCUGCCCUCGGGUGUCCAAAAAGCGCGGUAUUGCAGCCACAACGGGGAAGCGCAUGCGCACUGAGUUCCGGCGCGCACACGCUCAGUACCGGUCGCCGUGUUCGCCGCUGCUCUCCGCCGUUUCGGGAACGGGGUAGUCCACCGAAGGGGGACAUCUUGAAGAGAAGCAGCUCGACCUAG
This 489-nucleotide long non-coding RNA is filed under the name Apteryx rowi (Okarito brown kiwi). RNAcentral's name for it is "lncRNA (ENSARWG00000018270.1)". The record is from RNAcentral. Lineage: Eukaryota; Metazoa; Chordata; Aves; Apterygiformes; Apterygidae.